ACUCCUACGGGAGGCAGCAGUGGGGAAUAUUGGACAAUGGGCGCAAGCCUGAUCCAGCCAUGCCGCGUGAGUGAUGAAGGCCCUAGGGUUGUAAAGCUCUUUCACCGGAGAAGAUAAUGACGGUAUCCGGAGAAGAAGCCCCGGCUAACUUCGUGCCAGCAGCCGCGGUAAUACGAAGGGGGCUAGCGUUGUUCGGAAUUACUGGGCGUAAAGCGCACGUAGGCGGAUCGAUCAGUCAGGGGUGAAAUCCCAGGGCUCAACCCUGGAACUGCCUUUGAUACUGUCGAUCUGGAGUAUGGAAGAGGUGAGUGGAAUUCCGAGUGUAGAGGUGAAAUUCGUAGAUAUUCGGAGGAACACCAGUGGCGAAGGCGGCUCACUGGUCCAUUACUGACGCUGAGGUGCGAAAGCGUGGGGAGCAAACAGGAUUAGAUACCCCUGUAGUCCCAU
This 447-nucleotide ribosomal RNA is filed under the name uncultured organism. RNAcentral's name for it is "partial 16S ribosomal RNA". It matches the Rfam family "Bacterial small subunit ribosomal RNA", at positions 335 to 798 of the family's 1533-position model. The record is from RNAcentral.